ACAGAUCCAGGCUUGCUAUGUUUACGACGAUUCAUUUCCCUAGAAAAAAUAAAAUAUAUAAAAUGAGCAAGUACAUAAGAAAUUACCUCAGCCAAAAGAAAUUAAAUCAUAAAGCAUUUUCUUUCAUUAGAAGAACUACUUAAAAAAGAAUUUUCCAAUGAGAAUAGGCUAAAAGUUACAUUCCACUUUUGUUAUUUAACUGCUUCAUAUUAAUAGUGUCUAAGGCCAGACCAUUAGAAUGCACCUGAUCUUGUGUGACCUUAGAAGCUAAGCAGAGUCAAUCAAGACUGGCUACAGUUGGAUGGGAGACCACCGGGGAAUACACCUUAGAGCUGUCUGCUUUAGAGCCGUGUGUGUGACACAGGACUUUAAUCCCACCACUCAGGGGUCAGAGACAGGUUGAUCUCUGAGUCUAAGGCCAAUCUGGCUCGGACCACCACACUGCAGACUGUCUCAAGAAAAAACAAAAAUAAAACCCCUAAAGCCCAGCAUCCUUUCCUAAGUUUAAAAACAGUACAGUUAGUUAUUAAGAGACAUAAAUAUGAUUAAACAUGUACCCAAGAGCAUAACAACAGUAACCCAUAACAAAACCCAAAGCUUGAAGAACUUCAACACUGCAUUCAUCACAGGCUCCAGAGAGGAAUUCUACAAGAGAAAGUGUGGAGGCUGGGCGAAGUUCUUUGGAUUCAAAAUGUUAACUCUUCAGAAGGUUGAGGAAGGAGGGUCACUUGAGCCCAGGCGGUCAAAACUAGCUUAGGAAUCACAGUGAGUCCCUUACCUCA
Molecule: long non-coding RNA, 782 nt
Filed under: Rattus norvegicus (Norway rat)
Lineage: Eukaryota; Metazoa; Chordata; Mammalia; Rodentia; Muridae
Description: long non-coding RNA NONRATT025923
Source: RNAcentral